AGAUAGAUAGAUAGAUAGAUAGACAGACAGACAUACAGACAGAGAGAUAGAUAAAUGCACGAUCAAUGCUGAACUGACGUUAAAAUAUAACAAGAGUAAUUGGAUCACACUCCUCCAGGUUUUCUCAGAAAAUCAAUAGAGCUGAGCACCACCUAUCAAUGGAUGUUCCUGUUUAUGGAAAGUCAAAUGAUCCACUCCAUCAUUCACAAACAGAUCAUAUUUGCGUAUUUAAAAGUUAAAACUGACCAAAUUGCAUGAUAUUGGUUCCUUAUGCACACCAUUGCUGAUAUAUGUCCCAUGCUGCUGCUGACGAACUUCGUUAAAACAGAGAAGUGAAAAAAAAUCCAUGAAUUUACCAGUUACCAAUGCAUUAUUGCAUUAAACCUACGAGAUUCUGUUCCAUUUGAAUACCUACAAAACUGAAACCACUAUCUAAGUAAUCAAGCUAUUGUUUCAUUGCAGAUCAGACUGAUUAAUGGUUUGAACUAACGGAAGAAAACUAUGUUUUUUUACGAUUCGCUUUUUGUUACUUUGUUUUCUGUUUUUCUUAAUUUUUUUUUUGUAAGAGAUUUAUGGUUUUCA
This is a long non-coding RNA of Octopus bimaculoides (California two-spot octopus), 582 nucleotides long. The record is from RefSeq and is a predicted model, not a curated record. NCBI's taxonomy places the organism in Eukaryota, Metazoa, Mollusca, Cephalopoda, Octopoda, Octopodidae.